GAUGAAGAACGCAGCGAAAUGCGAUAAUUAAUGUGAAUUGCAGAAUUCAGUGAAUCAUCGAGUCUUUGAACGCACAUUGCGCCCCCUGGUAUUCCGGGGGGCAUGCCUGUCCGAGCGUCAUUGCUGCCCUCAAGCACGGCUUGUGUGUUGGGCUUCCGUCCCUGGCAACGGGGACGGGCCCAAAAGGCAGUGGCGGCACCAUGUCUGGUCCUCGAGCGUAUGGGGCUUUGUCACCCGCUCCCGUAGGUCCAGCUGGCAGCUAGCCUCGCAACCAAUCUUUUUAACCAGGUUGACCUCGGAUCAGGUAGGGAUACCCGCUGAACUUAAGCAUAUCAAUAACGGAGGA
This 346-nucleotide unclassified non-coding RNA is filed under the name soil metagenome. RNAcentral describes it as "partial contains 5.8S ribosomal RNA, internal transcribed spacer 2, and large subunit ribosomal RNA". The stretch from base 1 to 120 matches the Rfam family "5.8S ribosomal RNA", at positions 35 to 154 of the family's 154-position model. The record is from RNAcentral.